GCCCUUCAUCCCCAGCCCAGUGUUGAUAUUAUUGGAAAGUACAUAGUUGAUGCUCACAGGAAGAUGAAAUUCUCAGAAACUACAAAGUUAUACAAGGGCACUCUGGGGGAGGCUGUCUAUUGGAAGAUGAUGUGUAGGCUACUGACAUUCCACUGUGAAGUCACUGGAGGGGUACUAGGUGGAGCCAUUCAUGAGCAAUAUCAAGCCAGUAGUACUCUGCCCAAAAUUGUCCAAGGGGGUGAUGGGAAAGUGUUCACGGGAAGUGCUGAGCCAGUGAUACUCAGAAAUCCUGAAGCUGCUCCAGGAGUUGAGAAAUAUUCCAAGGAACUUAUUAUCAAGGGUCAAAGAGGGGAAAGGAUAAAGAUGAAAGCCUAUUCUCAAGCUAUAAACAAGCAAAAAUGGAGAAACAACGCAAAGUAUUCUGAACUUAACCUUCCACCUGUACCAGGCCUCAGAUGGCUGACAUUUUGAGAAAGUCUACAAUGGUGACAUACUGAAGGAAGGAAAACCCCAAUUGAGAAUGUAAGUACUCAUCCCAAAGUUUCCUCCAUAGACAUCUAGAUGAAAAAGAAAAGAUCUUGGAGCUUUCAGUAAUACAAACCAGGCCUCAAGCAAAUCAAUUCUAUUUGAUAUCAUUGAACAGCUCAUAUUAAAUCUGAAGUAAGAUAAAUUUUUUAUCAGUAAAGUCCAUUGAAAUCCUACUUCUGCUCA
Molecule: long non-coding RNA, 711 nt
Filed under: Felis catus (domestic cat)
Lineage: Eukaryota; Metazoa; Chordata; Mammalia; Carnivora; Felidae
Description: lncRNA (ENSFCAG00000051676.1)
Source: RNAcentral